GUGGGGAAUAUUGGACAAUGGGGGGAACCCUGAUCCAGCCAUGCCGCGUGUGUGAAGAAGGCCUUUUGGUUGUAAAGCACUUUAAGCGAGGAGGAGGCUACCGAGAUUAAUACUCUUGGAUAGUGGACGUUACUCGCAGAAUAAGCACCGGCUAACUCUGUGCCAGCAGCCGCGGUAAUACAGAGGGUGCAAGCGUUAAUCGGAUUUACUGGGCGUAAAGCGCGCGUAGGUGGACACUUAAGUCAAAUGUGAAAUCCCCGAGCUUAACUUGGGAAUUGCAUUCGAUACUGGUUGGCUAGAGUAUGGGAGAGGAUGGUAGAAUUCCAGGUGUAGCGGUGAAAUGCGUAGAGAUCUGGAGGAAUACCGAUGGCGAAGGCAGCCAUCUGGCCUAAUACUGACACUGAGGUGCGAAAGCAUGGGGAGCAAACAGGAUUAGAUACCCGGGUAGUCC
This 451-nucleotide ribosomal RNA is filed under the name uncultured bacterium. RNAcentral's name for it is "partial 16S ribosomal RNA". It matches the Rfam family "Bacterial small subunit ribosomal RNA", at positions 354 to 796 of the family's 1533-position model. The record is from RNAcentral.